GACAGAGGGUGCAAACGUUGUUCGGAAUUACUGGGCGUAAAGCGCGUGUAGGCUGCUCGGAAAGUCGGGUGUGAAAGCCCUGGGCUUAACCCAGGAAGUGCACUCGAAACUCCCGAGCUGGAGUCCUGGAGAGGAAGGCGGAAUUCUCGGUGUAGAGGUGAAAUUCGUAGAUAUCGAGAGGAACAUCGGUGGCGAAGGCGGCCUUCUGGACAGUGACUGACGCUGAGACGCGAAAGCGUGGGGAGCGAACAGG
This 253-nucleotide ribosomal RNA is filed under the name uncultured bacterium. RNAcentral describes it as "partial 16S ribosomal RNA". It matches the Rfam family "Bacterial small subunit ribosomal RNA", at positions 524 to 776 of the family's 1533-position model. The record is from RNAcentral.